Long non-coding RNA from Clupea harengus (Atlantic herring), 1521 nucleotides. The record is from Ensembl. NCBI's taxonomy places the organism in Eukaryota, Metazoa, Chordata, Actinopteri, Clupeiformes, Clupeidae.
GUGCCAAGCGCUCUUGGCAACAGAUGAAGUAAUAACGCGUCCCCUUUAAUUUGCCCACGCUGUACAUCGGGAAGGAGUGGUACAGCGCAGAGGGAUCGGCACUCUCUGAAGUCCCUUUGUAUGCGCGGCAUUGCCUAACUGCAGCCUAGAGCGUUGAUUGUAAUAGACAUAUCGUGUGAAAUUAUCAGCAAAUGAAAGGAGAAAAACAGAGGCUAUUAUAUGCUGCCGCCUUGUUUAAAAAAAAAAAAAACCGGGUGAACAAGUAAGGGCAUGGAUCAUCCUAAUCCAUCUUUUAAAAUAAGAAGGCAGUCAGAUAUUUGAAUCUUGAAUGUAACUAGUUUAAUAGGAUCUGCAUGUAACGGUUUUGCACUUUAUGUUUAAAGAGUGUGCGUGCUUUGCAUGGGCAUUGUGAUGCUUUGAUCUACCCAGAAAAUAAGAAACUAUUGCACUGCAGACACCUUUCUCAUCUCAUCUCACGGCAUUUUCAGUGCUUGACUAUGAGAAGAGAAACAAUGUAAUUGGACACAAACAAUAUCCUAAUUAAAUGGGAGCUUUCAAUUUAACAUACUUAUAAAGAAAUCAUACAUUUUGGGAUAACUGUUAUCACAUUAACCCACUUUUAAGACUUGUCUGUAGAAGGUGUAGUGUCACGAAAACAACGUUUAACGGACCAGGCAUAGGUGUUGCCAACAGGCUAAAUUGCAUUGUGGGUUCCCAAUGCUUUAGUGACUAAAACUAAAAAGAAUACAAAACAACCACUACUAUCUGUUAUGUGAGAUUUUUAACUGUUCAGUCAAUUGUAUGCUACAAUUUGUAUGACAGCGUAAGAUGGUGGGAAGACAAAUGUGGAACACUUUGCUUUCCUGUGGCAAAUGUGUUUUGUAUUAAAUGAUCUGUAAUUCCAUGUGUUGUUUUCAACACACCUUUCUUAUAUCUUUGCAGAGAGCUGAAAUUGUACAAGGACUACCUUAGAUGCUGUUGCAGACAACGUUAUUAGUAGUGACACUGGGGGCGUCAGAUUUAGCUUAUCCCAGCAUAUCCAGAUGACGAUUAUAGGGGGGCUCUUGGAGAUAUUAAAAUACAGCUUGACAAGCUCAACACUUCGUGCUCCCGAUUACUCCGCACUCUGCUUCCCCUGAAGCAACCAAAUUCUUGUGGCUGGAGACGCAAAAAGAGCAGGACUCUUCCGCAUCUUCCUGUGUGCGGUUCCUUCCAUGCCCAGCGCUCUGUUGUCGGAGCCCCCAGUUGCUGCAGAGCAGCUCUACGAUGAAUAAAUACAAGAAGUACCUUUGACGGACGCCUAGACAUGCCUGGGGAAAGGAAAACAACACCGUUAUGACACAAAGUGACAUCUACAGAAGCGUGUAAAUGUGUCAAAGACCUGUAAUUGCAAUCGUGGCCGUUGACAAAGGUGUUAUUCAUAGAUAACGUCUGGUGACCUGGAGUCUGAACGUGUGAACCGUGCUUCUCUCCUUCUCCUUGGCCGCAUAUCACAGAGGUGCCACCCUCACCCACCCCCCC